Molecule: long non-coding RNA, 391 nt
Organism: Thalassophryne amazonica
Lineage: Eukaryota; Metazoa; Chordata; Actinopteri; Batrachoidiformes; Batrachoididae
Exons: 2
Source: RefSeq, a predicted model, not a curated record
UAGACUGAAACACCUGACCAGACCAUUUUUUACUUAGAAGCACACUAUCAGCAGAGCACACGUGUGUCUCUUGCAAAAAGGCAAUAUCCGCUCUCAGCUGCUUUAAAUGACUCAUAAUUUUACAAAAUUUUAAUGGGCUAUUAAGAGAUUUUACAUUCCAGCUCACACAGUUAACUAGACAGCCAUUUGAAUAACUAGUAUUUUACAUAUUACCAGCCAUGAUCAGAAAAACAAUAUAUCACCUGAUGCACAUGAAUCCAAAGAUACCUGACAUAAAGGUCACCACAAAUAAACAGAUCUGGUUUAGCCCCACCCCUAUCUCCCACAUGAACAUGGAGAUAAUAACAGCAACUCUUAAACACAAAUCCACCCAUUAGUGCUUGUAUUGAGG